UACGUAGGGCGCGAGCGUUGUCCGGAAUUAUUGGGCGUAAAGAGCUCGUAGGCGGCUUGUCACGUCGGGUGUGAAAGACCGGGGCUUAACUCCGGUUCAGCAUUCGAUACGGGCUAGCUAGAGUGUGGUAGGGGAGAUCGGAAUUUCUGGUGUAGCGGUGAAAUGCGCAGAUAUCAGGAGGAACGCCGGUGGCGAAGGCGGAUCUCUGGGCCAUAACUGACGCUGAGGAGCGAAAGCGUGGGGAGCGAACAGG
Molecule: ribosomal RNA, 253 nt
Filed under: uncultured bacterium
Lineage: Bacteria
Description: partial 16S ribosomal RNA
Rfam family: Bacterial small subunit ribosomal RNA
Source: RNAcentral